UACUCCCGCCGGCGACCGGCGCGACGGUGAGUAACACGUAUAGAAACCUCGCCCGUAGCGAGGGGGAUAAGCGGAAGAAAUUCCGUCUAAUACCGCGUAACAACCCGAGGAGGCAUCUCCUCGGGUUUAAAGGAAGCGAUUCCGGCUACGGAUGGUCAUGCGUCGCAUUAGCUAGUUGGCGGGGUAACGGCCCACCAAGGCGACGAUGCGUAGGGGUUCUGAGAGGAAGGUCCCCCACACUGGUACUGAGACACGGACCAGACUCCUACGGAAGGCAGCAG
This 281-nucleotide ribosomal RNA is filed under the name uncultured bacterium. RNAcentral describes it as "partial 16S ribosomal RNA". It matches the Rfam family "Bacterial small subunit ribosomal RNA", at positions 80 to 354 of the family's 1533-position model. The record is from RNAcentral.